Molecule: ribosomal RNA, 809 nt
Filed under: uncultured bacterium
Lineage: Bacteria
Description: bacterial SSU rRNA
Rfam family: Bacterial small subunit ribosomal RNA
Source: RNAcentral
CCCUUUCGGGGGUACACGAGUGGCGAACGGGUGAGUAACACGUGAGGAACCUGCCCUUGACUCUGGGAUAACAGUGGGAAACUUCUGCUAAUACCGGAUAUUCAGAUUCUGCCGCAUGGUGGGGUUUGGAAAGCUUUUGUGGUCAAGGAUGGUCUCGCGGCCUAUCAGCUUGUUGGUGAGGUAAUGGCUCACCAAGGCGUCGACGGGUAGCCGGCCUGAGAGGGCGACCGGCCACAUUGGGACUGAGAUACGGCCCAGACUCCUACGGGAGGCAGCAGUGGGGAAUAUUGCACAAUGGGCGGAAGCCUGAUGCAGCAACGCCGCGUGCGGGAUGACGGCCUUCGGGUUGUAAACCGCUUUCAGUAGGGACGAAGCGCAAGUGACGGUACCUACAGAAGAAGCACCGGCUAACUACGUGCCAGCAGCCGCGGUGAUACGUAGGGUGCGAGCGUUGUCCGGAAUUAUUGGGCGUAAAGAGCUUGUAGGCGGUUGGUUGCGUCGUAAGUGAAAACUCAGGGCUUAACCCUGGGCCUGCUUGCGAUACGGGCUGACUUGAGGAAGGUAGGGGAGAAUGGAAUUCCCGGUGGAGCGGUGGAAUGCGCAGAUGUCGGGAGGAACACCAGUGGCGAAGGCGGUUCUCUGGACCUUUCCUGACGCUGAGAAGCGAAAGCGUGGGGAGCAAACAGGCUUAGAUACCCUGGUAGUCCACGCCGUAAACGGUGGGUACUAGGUGUGGGUCACAUUCCACGUGAUCUGUGCCGUAGCUAACGCAUUAAGUACCCCGCCUGGGGAGUACGGCCGCAAGGCUA